GCAUUAAUGGGGUAGUGGUAACCUGGGUCGUUGCCAUCACACAUCUCGCAUGGUUCGUCGACCCGCCGGGGGUUCGAUUCCCUCUUAAUGCA
This is a non-coding RNA of Marasmius tenuissimus, 92 nucleotides long. The record is from the annotation of a GenBank genome assembly. NCBI's taxonomy places the organism in Eukaryota, Fungi, Basidiomycota, Agaricomycetes, Agaricales, Marasmiaceae.